AUACUAAACCAGAGCAGAAUCUUGAUUGAAGAAAGAGAGAAAAUCAGAAACAGGAGUAAUGAACUCCAAGAUAGUUUAACAGCUGUUACAGAGCUGAAAAACCAUCGCAUCUACAACUUAACCACAGAAAAAGAUGAGUUACUUACAAACAACAGCAAUCUGCUAGAGGAGAAAAAACAAUGUCUAUUGAAUACCCGAAGUCUGUCAGAAGAAAAAGAUCAGUUAAUGAAUGAAACAAAAGAAUUGAACAUAUGGCUUACUGAACAAGAUCGGCGCUCUGAUAACUUUAAAUGGAUUUACUACAACUUCAGUUUUUAUUACAUUUCAUCUGAAUAUAAGAGCUGGAGUGACAGCAGACGAGACUGUAAACAGAGAGGAGCAA
Long non-coding RNA from Paramisgurnus dabryanus, 382 nucleotides. RefSeq lists it as uncharacterized. The record is from RefSeq and is a predicted model, not a curated record. Lineage: Eukaryota; Metazoa; Chordata; Actinopteri; Cypriniformes; Cobitidae.